GAAAGGUAUUUCUCAGAGAUGGGCCCAAAGCUGCUUCUGUUUCCUUGUGGCCUCAGGCUGGCUCUAGCUAGUAGGACACCAUGACCCAGAGUAACUAAAGGGAAUUAUUGGCAUCCUCCCACGAGCUCCUACCAGGCCAGUGCCAGAAACACUCAUCUACUCCCUUAUGGAAGAUCACUGAGUCAUGAGAUCUGUGGUUUGUCUGAUUCUCCACUUCCCGAAGCCAGCCAAGGCUAACCGACCUGGGAUUCUGAGAGACUGUCCAGGUGAGCUCGGGUGCUUCAGUAGCAACUGGCCUUCUGGGUGUGCCCCAGAGCAAUUCUGAGUCCAGAGAUCGUUUCUGGCACCACCCUCAGCUCUCUCAGGGUUCUGGGAACCCAGUGAUCAGAGGCUGGCUGGCUGUGAGAUGUUCUUUCUCUUACCCUGUGGUGGGCUCCACAUUGCAGUCACUUCAUGCCUGCUGCUAAAAACCUAGGCCAGGCUUAUUACCUUUCAUCCAGACCAGAACUGAAAGCAGUUUCCAUCUCCUGGGCCAAUUCCAACUAAUUGGUAGUGGCUGCCCGAGCACUGUGUAGAGAAAGAUUUUGAGUUCAGCAGCAGAGUGUGGUUGUCCAUUGGUGACGAUUGCCAGAGGCACAGGUGGGUCACUGCAACUUGCAUUCUGUGUGUUUACUAAUUCUGAUCUGGACCAUUACAUCAGCCUGCUAAGUGGUGCACUUACCUCUAUUUCCUUCCAGAAAAAAA
Molecule: long non-coding RNA, 744 nt
Organism: Homo sapiens (human)
Lineage: Eukaryota; Metazoa; Chordata; Mammalia; Primates; Hominidae
Source: Ensembl